GACGAACGCUGGCGGCGCGCUUAACACAUGCAAGUCGAACGGAAAGGCCUGCUUUCCCUUGUGGCUUGCGGGUACUCGAGUGGCGAACGGGCGCGUAACACGUCAGUGAUCUGCCCCCAACUUGGGUAUAAGCCCGGGUAACUGGGCCUAAUUCCCGCUUGGACCGCAGGGUGGUGGCUGUGGUGGUAAACGUUCUUCUAGUGGUUGGGGUUGAGCUCGCGGUCUAUUAGCUUGUUGGUGGGGUAAUGGCCUACAAAGGCAGGGACGGAGAGCCGGCGUGGGAGGGUGGACGUGGGCAUGAGAACUGGGAUACGGCACCGAGGCAUACGGGAGGAAGCAGUGGGGAAUAAUGGACGAUGGGCGGAAGGCGGAUGGAGCGACGCCGCGUGGAGGAUGACGGCCUGCGGGUGGUAAUCUCCUUUCGACCGCGAGGAAGCCACCGGGUAGGAAGGGUAGUGACGGUAGUGGUAGAAGAAGCACCGGCUAACUACGUG
This 494-nucleotide ribosomal RNA is filed under the name uncultured bacterium. RNAcentral's name for it is "partial 16S ribosomal RNA". It matches the Rfam family "Bacterial small subunit ribosomal RNA", at positions 28 to 507 of the family's 1533-position model. The record is from RNAcentral.